This 475-nucleotide long non-coding RNA is filed under the name Bos taurus (domestic cattle). RNAcentral describes it as "long non-coding RNA NONBTAT013756". Lineage: Eukaryota; Metazoa; Chordata; Mammalia; Artiodactyla; Bovidae. The record is from RNAcentral.
UCAUUCCCUAAAGGUUUGAACUGAGGUAUGCGUACUAACAGUUUCUCAUGCUGUUAACUUUACUCAUGUCUAGCUACACAUGCUGAGAAUGAACUAAUCUACCAGAUUUUUAUCCUCUUUUGAAUACCAAACUAACCAGCAACCACUCCGUUCAGAAGCUCAGGGCCCCCUUCCCAUGACCCUGUCUGGCUACUGCCUGCACAUCAUGACGCUGCCUGGAAAAGUUGGGGAAAAAAAAAAUGUAAGUCUCGAGUGACCACAGACUGCCCUUUAUAGAGAAAGCAGUGUGAAGCUUCAAAAGUAACUGCCAAAGAAGUUUUUCUACCAAGCUUGUGAGUGGACAGGAAUGUUACAAAUGUCUUCUAGAAAUACUAUUACACGGUCUAGUUCAAUUGUGGAAGCUUUUUUGUUCUCUCUGAAUUUUACCUUCAUUUUACCAUAACUGUCUCCUGGACUGGACACCCCCUAAGUUUCA